GAUGAACGCUGGCGGCAUGCCUAACACAUGCAAGUCGAUCGGUAAGGCUCUUCGGAGUGCACGAGAGGCGGACGGCCGAGUAACUCGCAGGAACACACCCUGCAGUGAGGGAUAAGAUACCGCAAGGUGUCUUAAUACCGCAUACGGUCUUCGGAUUAAAGCAUUUAUGCGCUGAAGGAGUGGCCUGCGUCAUAUUAGAUAGUUGGUGAGGUAAUGGCUCACCAAGUCGAUGAUGUGUAGCUGGUCUGGGAGGAUGAUCAGCCAGACUGGAACUGAGACACGGUCCAGACUCCUACGGGAGGCAGCAGUGAGGAAUAUUUCACAAUGAGCGAAAGCUUGAUGGAGCAAUGCCGCGUGCAGGGUGAAGGCCCUCGGGUUGUAAACUGCUUUUAUAAGAGAAGAUUAUGACGGUAACUUAUGAAUAAGGGACGGCUAACUACGUG
RNAcentral lists this ribosomal RNA (443 nucleotides) under uncultured bacterium. RNAcentral describes it as "partial 16S ribosomal RNA". It matches the Rfam family "Bacterial small subunit ribosomal RNA", at positions 28 to 507 of the family's 1533-position model. The record is from RNAcentral.